CAAAAUGUAGCUAAAAUUUUAUAAAGCGCUUCACUUACAAUGAAGAGGUAACCUAGAAAUAUAAGGUUCAUUUUGG
This 76-nucleotide transfer RNA is filed under the name Leptodius exaratus. RNAcentral's name for it is "tRNA-Val". It matches the Rfam family "tRNA". Rfam says of the family: Transfer RNA (tRNA) molecules are approximately 80 nucleotides in length. Their secondary structure includes four short double-helical elements and three loops (D, anti-codon, and T loops). The record is from RNAcentral. Lineage: Eukaryota; Metazoa; Arthropoda; Malacostraca; Decapoda; Xanthidae.